AGAUUGAACGCUGGCGGCAGGCCUAACACAUGCAAGUCGAGCGGCAGCACGGGUACUUGUACCUGGUGGCGAGCGGCGGACGGGUGAGUAAUGCCUAGGAAUCUGCCUGGUAGUGGGGGAUAACGCUCGGAAACGGACGCUAAUACCGCAUACGUCCUACGGGAGAAAGCAGGGGACCUUCGGGCCUUGCGCUAUCAGAUGAGCCUAGGUCGGAUUAGCUAGUUGGUGAGGUAAUGGCUCACCAAGGCGACGAUCCGUAACUGGUCUGAGAGGAUGAUCAGUCACACUGGAACUGAGACACGGUCCAGACUCCGUA
This 316-nucleotide ribosomal RNA is filed under the name uncultured soil bacterium. RNAcentral's name for it is "bacterial SSU rRNA". It matches the Rfam family "Bacterial small subunit ribosomal RNA", at positions 26 to 342 of the family's 1533-position model. The record is from RNAcentral.